This 253-nucleotide ribosomal RNA is filed under the name uncultured bacterium. RNAcentral describes it as "partial 16S ribosomal RNA". It matches the Rfam family "Bacterial small subunit ribosomal RNA", at positions 524 to 776 of the family's 1533-position model. The record is from RNAcentral.
UACGGAGGGUGCGAGCGUUGUCCGGAAUCACUGGGCGUAAAGGGCGCGUAGGUGGUUUGAUAAGGGUGUGGUGAAAGUCCGGGGCUCAACCCCGGAUCUGCCGUGCCGACUGUCAGACUCGAGGGCUGUAGAGGCAGACGGAAUUCCGGGUGUAGCGGUGGAAUGCGUAGAGAUCCGGAGGAAGACCGGUGGCGAAGGCGGUCUGCUGGGCAGUUUCUGACACUGAGGCGCGACAGCGUGGGGAGCAAACAGG